GCAAGUCAAGGGGAAAGUUUCGCUUGCGGAAUUAGUAUACUGGCGCACGGGUGAGUAAUAUGUAAGUAAUCUACCCAUAGAUUUGGGAUAACGUCGAGAAAUCGGCGCUAAUACCGUAUAACGCAUCGGGACCGCAUGGUUCUGAUGUUAAAGCCAUUUAUGGCGUCUGUGGAUGAGCUUGCCUCUGAUUAGCUUGUUGGUAGGGUAAAGGCCUACCAAGGCAACGAUCAGUAGCUGGUCUGAGAGGAUGAUC
Molecule: ribosomal RNA, 253 nt
Filed under: uncultured bacterium
Lineage: Bacteria
Description: partial 16S ribosomal RNA
Rfam family: Bacterial small subunit ribosomal RNA
Source: RNAcentral